UUCAGAAAUAGUUUAAAAAAAAAUAUAAAUUUUGGAGAUUUAAGAUAUGUGGAAAUUUUCUGA
Molecule: transfer RNA, 63 nt
Filed under: Thulinius sp. DVL-2010
Lineage: Eukaryota; Metazoa; Tardigrada; Eutardigrada; Parachela; Doryphoribiidae
Description: tRNA-Pro
Source: RNAcentral